This 1292-nucleotide ribosomal RNA is filed under the name uncultured bacterium. RNAcentral describes it as "bacterial SSU rRNA". It matches the Rfam family "Bacterial small subunit ribosomal RNA", at positions 97 to 1425 of the family's 1533-position model. The record is from RNAcentral.
GGCAGACGGGUGAGUAACAUGUAGGUAUCUUCCCAUUGGUGAGGAAUAACACGAGGAAACUUGUGCUAAUACCUCAUAAGUCUUUACGGAGAAAGCUUUAUGCGCCGAUGGAUGAGCCUGCACUUGAUUAGUUUGUUGGUAGGGUAAUGGCCUACCAAGACAAUGAUCAAUAGCUGAUUUGAGAGGAUGAUCAGCCACAUUGGGACUGAGACACGGCCCAAACUCCUACGGGAGGCAGCAGUAGGGAAUCUUGCACAAUGGGGGAAACCCUGAUGCAGCGAUGCCGCGUGAGUGAAGAAGGCCUUUGGGUUGUAAAGCUCUUUCGUCGGGGAAGAAAAUGACUGUACCCGAAUAAGAAGGUCCGGCUAACUUCGUGCCAGCAGCCGCGGUAAUACGAAGGGACCUAGCGUAGUUCGGAAUUACUGGGCUUAAAGAGUUCGUAGGUGGUUAAAAAAGUUGGUGGUGAAAUCCCAGAGCUUAACUCUGGAACUGCCAUCAAAACUUUUUAGCUAGAGUAUGAUAGAGGAAAGCAGAAUUUCUAGUGUAGAGGUGAAAUUCGUAGAUAUUAGAAAGAAUACCGAUUGCGAAGGCAGCUUUCUGGAUCAUUACUGACACUGAGGAACGAAAGCAUGGGUAGCGAAGAGGAUUAGAUACCCUCGUAGUCCAUGCCGUAAACGAUGUGUGUUAGACGUUGGAAAUUUAUUUUCUGUGUCGCAGCGAAAGCAAUAAACACACCGCCUGGGGAGUACGACCGCAAGGUUAAAACUCAAAUGAAUUGACGGGGACCCGCACAAGUAGUGGAGCAUGUGGUUUAAUUCGAAGAUACGCGCAGAACCUUACCAACACUUGACAUGUUCGUCGCGACUUUAAGAGAUUAAAGUUUUCGGUUCGGCCGGACGAAACACAGGUGCUGCAUGGCUGUCGUCAGCUCGUGUCGUGAGAUGUUGAGUUAAGUCCCGCAACGAGCGCAACCCUCACUUUUAGUUGCCAUCAUUUAGUUGGGCACUCUGAAAGAACUGCCAGUGAUAAGCUGGAGGAAGGUGGGGAUGACGUCAAGUCCUCAUGGCCCUUACGUGUUGGGCUACACACGUGCUACAAUGGCAUUUACAAUAGGAAGCAAGACGGCGACGUUAAGCAAAUCCUAAAAAAAUGCCUCAGUUCGGAUUGUACUCUGCAACUCGAGUACAUGAAGCUGGAAUUACUAGUAAUCGCGGAUCAGCGCGCCGCGGUGAAUACGUUCCCGGGUCUUGUACACACCGCCCGUCACACCAUGGGAGUUGGUUCUACCUUAA